UGGCUCAGAUCGAUCUCUUCCCAAAAACCAAACCAACGCGGGUCGAAGUAGAAAACUCAGACGAACUGUACGCUCUCCACUUCGAUACAACCAAAGUCGUCUCUGGUUCUCCAUCUCGUCUCCACCCAAAACACUGGUCUUCUCGUCUCCAAUUAAAUACUAGAAACUCAUCUCAGGUUGCACGAUUGUUGCAACCGAAGCUUUCUUUUUUCCUUUCUCUCAUGAAAAUUGUAGCUCUCUUAUGGUCAGUAAUCCCUUGGAGUUUUCGCGCCAAAAGUUGGAGACUUGGAAGCAGAGAAACACAUCUAGAGUGACUCCUGAUGCACAUUUCGAAAAAGAUUUGGGCUUAGAUAGCUUGGAUAAUGGGAGAUUGUAAUGGCUCUAGAAGAAGAGUUCAAGCUUAUUUAAACAUAUUUGCAAACAUCUUUGAUUAAUCCAAAAGGAGGAAGCUCUAAAAGUUCGUGCGUCUAAAGCUAGUGAAGUGGGUGAAAGAGAGAAGGAAAUAGAAGCUGAGGUUGCAGAGCUUGAAAGACAAAGGGAUGAUCUUGAGGCUCAAUUGAAAAAGGUUUUCUCUGGUUUUUUCUCUAUGAUUUCCUAAAUGCGUACCUACUUAGAUUUUUUGUUUAGUUGUAUUUUGCCCUAUUCCUAUACUCUGGUUUCCUCUGAUGAGCAUAUUCUUAUUUGCCCCUGGUUUUCUUGUUUGUUCCUAUAUUCUGGUUCUAUUGAUUUAAGCAGUUUAAAAAGAUAUGUAUAUGAGAAUCAUAUAUGCAUCAGACGAAAAAAAAAAAUGUUGUUAUAUAAUUCUCAUAUACAUAAAUACAUUUCCUCAUGUGAGGCAGAAUCAUAUAUGCUUCCGAUGAGAAUCAUAUAAGCAUCUUGAUCAAGUUCGAGAAUCACAGACAUUGAUUCCUUGAUCCAGGCAAUAGAUGACUUUAUCUGAGAGUCUAGUUGAAGGAUGUUGUUUGACUUUAUUAAAAGAACUUUUGAAAAAAUAGUUCCUGGGUUGGUUUCCAUGCUGUUAAAGUACAUCUAUUAGUUACAAGCCUUGACACUAUCAGUUAGUUACCUGCUAGCUUGUCGUUAAUCCCUCGAAUUCGCAGUUGAAUGUGCAUUAGCCUUAUG
This is a long non-coding RNA of Rosa rugosa (rugosa rose), 1122 nucleotides long. RefSeq lists it as uncharacterized. Lineage: Eukaryota; Viridiplantae; Streptophyta; Magnoliopsida; Rosales; Rosaceae. The record is from RefSeq and is a predicted model, not a curated record. The transcript has 3 exons.